This 983-nucleotide ribosomal RNA is filed under the name uncultured eukaryote. RNAcentral's name for it is "partial 18S ribosomal RNA". The record is from RNAcentral.
GGGCGGUGUGUACAAGGGGCAGGGACGUAAUCGACGCAAGCUGAUGACUUGCGCUUACUAGGAAUUCCUCGUUGAAGAGCAAUAAUUACAAUGCUCUAUCCCCAGCACGACGGAGUUUCACAAGAUUUCCCAGACCUCUCGGCCAAGGUUAAUACUCGUUGGCUCCGUCAGUGUAGCGCGCGUGCGGCCCAGAACGUCUAAGGGCAUCACAGACCUGUUAUUGCCUCAAACUUCCAUCGACUUGAAAUCGAUAGUCCCUCUAAGAAGUGACUAUACCAGCAAAAGCUAGCAGCACUAUUUAGUAGGUUAAGGUCUCGUUCGUUAUCGCAAUUAAGCAGACAAAUCACUCCACCAACUAAGAACGGCCAUGCACCACCACCCACAAAAUCAAGAAAGAGCUCUCAAUCUGUCAAUCCUUAUUGUGUCUGGACCUGGUGAGUUUCCCCGUGUUGAGUCAAAUUAAGCCGCAGGCUCCACUCCUGGUGGUGCCCUUCCGUCAAUUCCUUUAAGUUUCAGCCUUGCGACCAUACUCCCCCCAGAACCCGAAGACUUUGAUUUCUCGUAAGGUGCCGAGUGCGUCAAAAAAAGAACAACACCCGAUCCCUAGUCGGCAUAGUUUAUGGUUAAGACUACGACGGUAUCUGAUCAUCUUCGAUCCCCUAACUUUCGUUCUUGAUUAAUGAAAACGUCCUUGGCAAAUGCUUUCGCAGUAGUUAGUCUUCAGUAAAUCCAAGAAUUUCACCUCUGACAACUGAAUGCUGAUGCCCCCGACCGUCCCUAUUAAUCAUUACGAUGGUCCUAGAAACCAACAAAAUAGAACCAUAACGUCCUAUUCUAUUAUCCCAUGCUAAUAUAUUCGAGCAAAGGCCUGCUUUGAACACUCUAAUUUUUUCAAAGUAAAAGUCCUGGUUCGCCAAACACCACAAGGGCGAAAGGUUAGCCAGAAGGAAAGGCUCGGUUGGGUCCAGUACUCGCCAAAAAGG